RNAcentral lists this ribosomal RNA (124 nucleotides) under Coccomyxa subellipsoidea C-169. The record is from RNAcentral. Lineage: Eukaryota; Viridiplantae; Chlorophyta; Trebouxiophyceae; Coccomyxaceae.
UGGAUCGUUCAUACCAGACUGAAACUGCCCGUUCUCGUCCGCUCCCGGAAACAAAGCUGUCUUGACCGUCACCAGUAGUGGGUUCCACAGGGUGACCACCUGCGAACCCGACGUGACGAUCUGU